This 69-nucleotide transfer RNA is filed under the name Harriotta raleighana (Pacific longnose chimaera). RNAcentral describes it as "tRNA-Pro". It matches the Rfam family "tRNA". Rfam says of the family: Transfer RNA (tRNA) molecules are approximately 80 nucleotides in length. Their secondary structure includes four short double-helical elements and three loops (D, anti-codon, and T loops). Further hydrogen bonds mediate the characteristic L-shaped molecular structure. tRNAs have two regions of fundamental functional importance: the anti-codon, which is responsible for specific mRNA codon recognition, and the 3' end, to which the tRNAs corresponding amino acid is attached (by aminoacyl-tRNA synthetases). tRNAs cope with the degeneracy of the genetic code in two manners: having more than one tRNA (with a specific anti-codon) for a particular amino acid; and 'wobble' base-pairing, i.e. permitting non-standard base-pairing at the 3rd anti-codon position. The record is from RNAcentral. Lineage: Eukaryota; Metazoa; Chordata; Chondrichthyes; Chimaeriformes; Rhinochimaeridae.
CAGAAAAUAGUUUAACGAUAAUCUCGACUUUGGGGGCCGAGGGUGAAAGUUUGAUUCUUUCUUUUCUGA